This is a non-coding RNA of Pelobates cultripes (western spadefoot toad), 222 nucleotides long. The record is from the annotation of a GenBank genome assembly. NCBI's taxonomy places the organism in Eukaryota, Metazoa, Chordata, Amphibia, Anura, Pelobatidae.
GUUUUCUCCAAAGCUUCUCCCAAAAGUGCUGCAGGGUAUCCUUUCAUGAUGAAUCUCUUCUCCAUCUCUUCCAUCUGUUCUCUGCAAGUGUCAGAUUUUGAACAAUUAUGUCUAAUUCUUCUAAAUUGAUUUUGAGGGAUGUUCUUUAACCAUACAGGUUUAUGGUGGCUGUUGUAAGGGAUGAAGCUGUUGCAGUCCACAUUCUUUUUGAAGGUCUUGGUG